This 588-nucleotide long non-coding RNA is filed under the name Lotus japonicus. Its description in RNAcentral is "long non-coding RNA (LJAP_LNC000777)". The record is from RNAcentral. Lineage: Eukaryota; Viridiplantae; Streptophyta; Magnoliopsida; Fabales; Fabaceae.
ACUACUGGACUGUUUUCUUGUAGUGAGAAUGGUGAGCUUCCAAGUGGAUGGGAUUCCGUCAUGAGCAGCUCCUAAGAGAUGUACCUGCGAAAGGGCUCCAACGCCUAAGUUAGAGAGAAGGAGUUGGUAGGGAGGGAAGCAAUAGAAUGGAGUGAAUAGAGUGCACCUUCAAGUCUUCCAUGACUUUCCUUUUAUGUGAAUGAGGUUGAGAGCUCCAAGGUUGUCAUGAGUGUCCAGUACAAUUUUGCGGUUUAGACCAUCAAAUCCUCUAACUUCGUCCAUGCCUUGGUUGUUAGGCCACGUCACUUGACGUGAAAUUGUGAGGGGAAAGCCUUGGACUUCAGGAUAUGGUUCUAGGCUAGAGACUUUAGAAUGUCGUCGGUUGCUUCGUGUGACUGUUGAAAUAACGUCGAUUCACCAUACGCAUACUCAGGGAAACGGAUCCUUUGCAUGAGUACCAGAGUAGUAGCUCAUUGUUCUAGGCAUGUGCGUCAAUGGAUGCCUAGAGCCUAGAGGUAUGAUGGCAGUGGGGUUCUUUGGUUGGCGGCGUCAGUCUGUGGGUAUCGUUAAUUAGCAAUCCUAUCCGAC